Molecule: ribosomal RNA, 496 nt
Filed under: uncultured bacterium
Lineage: Bacteria
Description: partial 16S ribosomal RNA
Rfam family: Bacterial small subunit ribosomal RNA
Source: RNAcentral
AUGAACGCUGGCGGCGUGCCUAAUACAUGCAAGUCGAGCGAACGGACGAGAAGCUUGCUUCUCUGAUGUUAGCGGCGGACGGGUGAGUAACACGUGGAUAACCUACCUAUAAGACUGGGAUAACUUCGGGAAACCGGAGCUAAUACCGGAUGAUAUUUUGAACCGCAUGGUUCAAAAGUGAAAGACGGUCUUGCUGUCACUUAUAGAUGGAUCCGCGCUGCAUUAGCUAGUUGGUAAGGUAACGGCUUACCAAGGCAACGAUGCAUAGCCGACCUGAGAGGGUGAUCGGCCACACUGGAACUGAGGCACGGUCCAGACUCCUACGGGAGGCAGCAGUAGGGAAUCUUCCGCAAUGGGCGAAAGCCUGACGGAGCAACGCCGCGUGAGUGAUGAAGGUCUUCGGAUCGUAAAACUCUGUUAUUAGGGAAGAACAUAUGUGUAAGUAACUGUGCACAUCUUGACGGUACCUAAUCAGAAAGCCACGGCUAACUACGUG